This 301-nucleotide ribosomal RNA is filed under the name uncultured bacterium. Its description in RNAcentral is "partial 16S ribosomal RNA". It matches the Rfam family "Bacterial small subunit ribosomal RNA", at positions 509 to 809 of the family's 1533-position model. The record is from RNAcentral.
CAGUAGCCACGGGAAUACGUAGGUGGCAAGCGUUGUCCGGAAUUAUUGGGCGUAAAGCGCGCGCAGGCGGAUCAGUCAGUCUGUCUUAAAAGUUCGGGGCUUAACCCCGUGAUGGGAUGGAAACUGCUGAUCUAGAGUAUCGGAGAGGAAAGUGGAAUUCCUAGUGUAGCGGUGAAAUGCGUAGAUAUUAGGAAGAACACCAGUGGCGAAGGCGACUUUCUGGACGAAAACUGACGCUGAGGCGCGAAAGCCAGGGGAGCGAACGGGAUUAGAUACCCCAGUAGUCCCUGUCUCUUAUACA